AAGGGGAGGUCAUUACCGAGUUUACACUCCCAACCCCUCUGUGAACAUACCACUUGUUGCCUCGGCGGAUCAGCCCGCUCCCGGUAAAACGGGACGGCCCGCCAGAGGACCCCUAAACUCUGUUUCUAUAUGUAACUUCUGAGUAAAACCAUAAAUAAAUCAAAACUUUCAACAACGGAUCUCUUGGUUCUGGCAUCGAUGAAGAACGCAGCAAAAUGCGAUAAGUAAUGUGAAUUGCAGAAUUCAGUGAAUCAUCGAAUCUUUGAACGCACAUUGCGCCCGCCAGUAUUCUGGCGGGCAUGCCUGUUCGAGCGUCAUUUCAACCCUCAAGCACAGCUUGGUGUUGGGACUCGCGUUAAUUCGCGUUCCUCAAAUUGAUUGGCGGUCACGUCGAGCUUCCAUAGCGUAGUAGUAAAACCCUCGUUACUGGUAAUCGUCGCGGCCACGCCGUUAAACCCCAACUUCUGAAUGUUGACCUCGGAUCAGGUAGGAAUACCCGCUGAACUUAAGCAUAUCAUUUAAGCGGAGGAAUC
This 533-nucleotide ribosomal RNA is filed under the name Fusarium oxysporum. Its description in RNAcentral is "eukaryotic LSU rRNA". The stretch from base 164 to 317 matches the Rfam family "5.8S ribosomal RNA". The record is from RNAcentral. Lineage: Eukaryota; Fungi; Ascomycota; Sordariomycetes; Hypocreales; Nectriaceae.